This 16-nucleotide ribosomal RNA is filed under the name Trichoderma lentiforme. RNAcentral's name for it is "partial 18S ribosomal RNA". Lineage: Eukaryota; Fungi; Ascomycota; Sordariomycetes; Hypocreales; Hypocreaceae. The record is from RNAcentral.
CUGCGAGGGAUCAUUA